RNAcentral lists this ribosomal RNA (814 nucleotides) under Fusarium verticillioides. Its description in RNAcentral is "eukaryotic LSU rRNA". It matches the Rfam family "Eukaryotic large subunit ribosomal RNA", at positions 76 to 919 of the family's 3401-position model. The record is from RNAcentral. Lineage: Eukaryota; Fungi; Ascomycota; Sordariomycetes; Hypocreales; Nectriaceae.
UGCCCUAGUAACGGCGAGUGAAGCGGCAACAGCUCAAAUUUGAAAUCUGGCUCUCGGGCCCGAGUUGUAAUUUGUAGAGGAUACUUUUGAUGCGGUGCCUUCCGAGUUCCCUGGAACGGGACGCCAUAGAGGGUGAGAGCCCCGUCUGGUUGGAUGCCAAAUCUCUGUAAAGUUCCUUCGACGAGUCGAGUAGUUUGGGAAUGCUGCUCUAAAUGGGAGGUAUAUGUCUUCUAAAGCUAAAUACCGGCCAGAGACCGAUAGCGCACAAGUAGAGUGAUCGAAAGAUGAAAAGCACUUUGAAAAGAGAGUUAAAAAGUACGUGAAAUUGUUGAAAGGGAAGCGUUUAUGACCAGACUUGGGCUUGGUUAAUCAUCUGGGGUUCUCCCCAGUGCACUUUUCCAGUCCAGGCCAGCAUCAGUUUUCGCCGGGGGAUAAAGACUUCGGGAAUGUGGCUCUCUUCGGGGAGUGUUAUAGCCCGUUGUGUAAUACCCUGGCGGGGACUGAGGUUCGCGCAUCUGCAAGGAUGCUGGCGUAAUGGUCAUCAACGACCCGUCUUGAAACACGGACCAAGGAGUCGUCUUCGUAUGCGAGUGUUCGGGUGUCAAACCCCUACGCGUAAUGAAAGUGAACGCAGGUGAGAGCUUCGGCGCAUCAUCGACCGAUCCUGAUGUUCUCGGAUGGAUUUGAGUAAGAGCAUACGGGGCCGGACCCGAAAGAAGGUGAACUAUGCCUGUAUAGGGUGAAGCCAGAGGAAACUCUGGUGGAGGCUCGCAGCGGUUCUGACGUGCAAAUCGAUUCGUCAAAUAUGGGCAUG